GUGAACUAGGCAUAGUUAACGCUGAUCAUGAUGCCGCGGGUGGUACAUUUAUAUCUGAGGUUGCGAGCCCCUGUUCAAAAUUUGUGGAUUCCCCUGAGAUAAAGAAACAUGAUUCUUUUAUAGUUAGCCGUCUUCCCGAGGAGGAACAUGAAAUUGCUGCGGUCCAGUCCUUUUUCUAUUGUGAAACUGACGAGAACUCGACAACAAUGCUGGAUGUUUCAACUGAAGAGUUCACUCAAAACUUGUGUGCUUCUUGUGAUCUUGAAGCUCGUAUGCACACCCAAACAGUCCUCAGUAUGAAUGAUUUAAUGUCAAAGGGAAACUCUCAACCAGAAGAGGAUUUAUUAUUUGAAAAGGAUUCUUCAAAUGGUUUCAAG
This 377-nucleotide unclassified non-coding RNA is filed under the name Hevea brasiliensis (rubber tree). Lineage: Eukaryota; Viridiplantae; Streptophyta; Magnoliopsida; Malpighiales; Euphorbiaceae. The record is from RNAcentral.